Uranotaenia lowii is the source of this 504-nucleotide long non-coding RNA. RefSeq lists it as uncharacterized. The transcript is spliced from 3 exons. Lineage: Eukaryota; Metazoa; Arthropoda; Insecta; Diptera; Culicidae. The record is from RefSeq and is a predicted model, not a curated record.
CUCCGCCUGUACAACACUGAUUGAUUGUUUUGACGAUUUUUUGCUUGUUAGUGUUGGUGAUCAAAGUAGGCCUGAAAAUUAUGUUCGGUUUUCGCAACGGUCAUUUUUCCUUACCGUGGCAGCCGAGCUGGAUUGAAAAAUAUGCUCUUCACGGAUAUGAAGGUGCUGGCCGUCUUUUCCAGAAACGUGACAGGAACGGCACCAAAGCGCUUUCACAGAAGGAUCAUCGGACAGAAGUUUAACUGUUCCGCCAACAGCGUUCUUCGCGGAAGUGAUUUUGAUUGGGAUAGCCGGUGAAAUCAUUCCACUUAGCCAGCCUACAUUGAUUGCUUCGAGUCCCUGAUCACCAAAGCACUGAGUCGAGUGGAAUUCCAGCACCCCGACUGAAGGAGGAAAUACGAAAUGAUCUACUGGUGCCGAAUGGUUGCAGCGUCAAGAUUUUUAAAAAAUGUGUGUAUUUUAGUUUAAUGUUUGUGUAGUGUGAAUUUUUUUGAAUAAAAUUUA